CCUACGGGUGGCAGCAGUAGGGAAUCUUUCACAAUGGGCGAAAGCCUGAUGGAGCAACGCCGCGUGCGUGAUGAAGGCCUUCGGGUUGUAAACUGCUUUUAUAAGCGAGGAAUGUGAUGGUAACUUAUUAAUAAGGAUCGGAUAACUACGUGCCAGCAGCCGCGGUCAUACGUAGGAGCCGAGCAUUAUCCGGGGUGACUGGGUGUAAAGAGUUGCGUAGGUGGCAUAAUAAGUAGCUAGGGAAAUCUGGUGGCUCAACCAUUCAGACUAUUAGCUAAACUGUUAAGCUCGAGACCGUUAGGGGUAACUGGAAUUUCUAGUGUAGGAGUGAAAUCCGUAGAUAUUAGAAGGAACACCAAUAGCGUAGGCAGGUUGCUGGGACGGUUCUGACACUAAGGCACGAAAGCGUAGGGAGCAAACGGGAUUAGAUACCCCUGUAGUC
This 442-nucleotide ribosomal RNA is filed under the name uncultured bacterium. RNAcentral describes it as "partial 16S ribosomal RNA". It matches the Rfam family "Bacterial small subunit ribosomal RNA", at positions 338 to 795 of the family's 1533-position model. The record is from RNAcentral.